AUUUUUAAUAGGCUGCAGAAUCUGGUAUUAUUAAAGUACAGAAUGCUGCAACAAAGCAUGAUGACAUACGCUUGGCAUUCCUUUCUGAAAGUCCAGAAAUUUUGGAGCCCUUUUUCAUUGGAUGUGAUACAAAAAAUACAAAGAUUGUUCAGAUGUGUUUAACUGCGAUGCAGCGGUUAAUAACUCAAGAAGCUGUAUCAUCAAUGGCUGCUAAUAAUAUCAUUACUUGUUUGUGGUCUUUAAUGGAAAGUGGUACAGAGGAAUUAAAGUUACUUCAAACUGUAACUCUUUUAGUUACUACAAAUAAUAUUGUUCAAGGAGAGGCUCUUUCAAAGG
This is a long non-coding RNA of Stegodyphus dumicola, 336 nucleotides long. Lineage: Eukaryota; Metazoa; Arthropoda; Arachnida; Araneae; Eresidae. The record is from RefSeq and is a predicted model, not a curated record.